AUGUUUGACUCUCACGUAACGAGCGCAUCUCUGCCGCUCCGUUAUUCGGUAAUGUUACGUCUACGGAUCUUCUCAAGGACCCAACCACUUCAGCUUGCAUCCCACCAGGACAUUCUCAAACGACCAAAAUACAUCCACCGAGGCUCUGGACGGAAUUUUCAGUACACUCACACCAGCAACAAAAACAUCCGCUCCUUCUGGUCCACUGGGCCCCGCCCCCUUCCUCGCACAGCCCGUACGGUCAGUCCCGUCAAUCACAGUGUCCUGUCCCCUCUGCUCAAAGCAACCUGCUACACUCCACUCACCUGUCUGAAACUCUGUCUGCUGAACACCAGAUCCCUCAGUAAUAAGGCCCUUUUGAUAAAUGACUUCAUUGUUGACCAGAGCCUAGACAUUCUCUGCCUCACUGAGACCUGGCAACAACCAAAUGACUUCUCCCAUCUAAAUGAAGCUGUCCCACCAGGUUUUUCUUUUAUUAGUAAACCCCGGGUUAAUGGGAGGGGGGGGUGGCCUCGCUCUCCUCCAUCGUGAUAACAUCAAAGGCACCACUGUCACAGUCCCCCUUCACUCCUCCUUUGAAUGUCUAGCUGUAAAACUCUACGGCCCCAAACUAUCAUUGUCACCAUUUACAGACCACCAAAACCCUCUGCCGUUUUCCUCAAUGAAUUCUCAUCACUACUUACAUCUGUAUGUGCAAUGUCCCCCACUGUUAUCCUCCUUGGUGAUUUCAACAUCCACAUUGACAACCCAUCCUGUACUUUUGCUAAUGACUUCACAUCACUUCUGGACUGUCUUGGCAUCACACAACAUGUCAACCUCCCAACCCAUAACAAAGGUCCCAUUCUGAUUUAAUCUGCUGCACUGACAUCACUCCCACUAACCUUGAUGUCAUUGAUUUCCCCAUCUCCGACCACAAAGCUGUACUUUUUGACAUUCAUACCCAACUACACAAAACCAAGGAACAACGGACCAUCUCCUUUAGAAACAUCAAACUUAUCAACACCACAGACCUCUCCACCAUGAUCAGCUCCUACCCCAACCCUCCCCCAGCUUCCUCCCUGAUUGACCUGGUGACUCACUACAAUAACUGCCUCUCCUCCUCCCUCACCACCCUGGCCCCCCUGAAAACCCGCUCAGUCUCAUUCACCCACACUGCUCCCUGGUUCACUCCUCAUCUGCGCCAGCUCAAAGCCACUGGUCGUCGACUGCAAUAAGACUC
RNAcentral lists this long non-coding RNA (1219 nucleotides) under Gadus morhua (Atlantic cod). RNAcentral's name for it is "lncRNA (ENSGMOG00000031234.1)". The record is from RNAcentral. Lineage: Eukaryota; Metazoa; Chordata; Actinopteri; Gadiformes; Gadidae.